UUGACCUCGGAUCGGGUAAGACUACCCGCUGAACUUAAGCAUAU
RNAcentral lists this ribosomal RNA (44 nucleotides) under uncultured Ascomycota. RNAcentral's name for it is "partial 26S ribosomal RNA". Lineage: Eukaryota; Fungi; Ascomycota. The record is from RNAcentral.